UACGUAGGGUGCGAGCGUUGUCCGGAAUUACUGGGCGUAAAGAGCUUGUAGGCGGUUCGUCGCGUCGAUCGUGAAAACAUACAGCUCAACUGUGUGCUUGCGGUCGAUACGGGCGGACUAGAGUACUGCAGGGGAGACUGGAAUUCCUGGUGUAGCGGUGAAAUGCGUAGAUAUCUGGAGGAACACCGGUGGCGAAGGCGGCAUCCUGGACCGGCAUUGACGCUGAGGCGCGAAAGCCAGGGGAGCAAACGGG
RNAcentral lists this ribosomal RNA (253 nucleotides) under uncultured bacterium. Its description in RNAcentral is "partial 16S ribosomal RNA". It matches the Rfam family "Bacterial small subunit ribosomal RNA", at positions 524 to 776 of the family's 1533-position model. The record is from RNAcentral.